AACACUGCAAGAAUCUCCAAACAGUGAAGAGGCUGGCCAACAUCAAACGCAGAGGCUGGGAACCAUCAAAUUCACCUGCAAGCAUCAUUGCCCGGACUGCCCCCGACCCUUUCGUUCUCAUCUUGGUCUGCACAGUCAACGCCAAGCCCAUCAAAGGAAAGGUACCCAACAUGAAGGAGGAAAAUAAGGCAGAAAAAUCCUCAAUAACGAGGCUGCCAUGAUGAUGGUGAUGAAGACUCCCCCAUUCACAAAAGGAAAAUCAGUUGGAGAAAGCGGAGGUUGAUUGGAGCAGAAAAUUACCGGUAUCAUGUAUCAAUCACAACUUCCACCUGAUGUUUCAAGACAAUGACACCAAACUAAUUGAACCGUGGACAGGAACACUCAAAAGCAAGAUUGUAAUCCUUGCAAGGAUGAUUAAAGGGAAUCUCACUGCCAGUCAGCUCAUCACAACGGUGAAGCCGGGCCCAAUCAGUGAGUCCAAAAUACGAGGUGGUGACGAUACAUUGAAGGAUCAUCUACAGAUUCAGGCAAAAGAUGCGUCGUACAUAUCCUACGUGGCUCAGAACAAACUUGUAUCU
Long non-coding RNA from Patiria miniata (bat star), 578 nucleotides. RefSeq lists it as uncharacterized. The record is from RefSeq and is a predicted model, not a curated record. Lineage: Eukaryota; Metazoa; Echinodermata; Asteroidea; Valvatida; Asterinidae. The transcript has 3 exons.